RNAcentral lists this ribosomal RNA (253 nucleotides) under uncultured bacterium. RNAcentral's name for it is "partial 16S ribosomal RNA". It matches the Rfam family "Bacterial small subunit ribosomal RNA", at positions 524 to 776 of the family's 1533-position model. The record is from RNAcentral.
UACAGAGGGUGCGAGCGUUGUUCGGAAUUAUUGGGCGUAAAGGGCGCGUAGGCGGCGCCACAAGUCACUUGUGAAAACUCUGGGCUCAACUCAGAGCCUGCAAGCGAAACUGUGGUGCUGGAGUAUGGGAGAGGUGCGUGGAAUUCCCGGUGUAGCGGUGAAAUGCGCAGAUAUCGGGAAGAACACCCGUGGCGAAGGCGGCUCUCUGGAACGCAACUGACGCUGAGACGCGAAAGCGUGGGGAGCGAACAGG